Molecule: long non-coding RNA, 1983 nt
Organism: Anolis carolinensis (green anole)
Lineage: Eukaryota; Metazoa; Chordata; Lepidosauria; Squamata; Anolidae
Exons: 2
Source: RefSeq, a predicted model, not a curated record
AAUACUUCUGGAACAUGGCCAUACAGCCCGGAAAACACACAACAACACUGUGAUUCCAGACAUGAAAGCCUUCAACGACAACAAUCUCACUGAAUGCCUCAUAUUAACCAAUAGAACUUCUAUUUAGGGCCGGGCUUUAGCACAGCAGGUUAACCACCAGCUGCAGUAAAUCUUGCCAGUCAAAAGGUUGGCAGUUCAAAGCAUGGGUCCGGGUGAAUUCCUGACCUUUAGCCCAGCUUUCGAACACCUAGCGAUUUGAAAGCAAAAUGUGAGUAGAUUAAUAGGUACUGCUUUAAAAAACAGAGGUAUUUUAAAGGCACCCAGAAAAAAAAUGCUGGCGGUUCAUCAAAAAGGAGGAAGUUUACGAACAGGGAGAUGGAGCAACGGCACACACAUCCCCCCGUGGCCGGAACUGAGCACAAGCCUCCAAGAUGCUGAAGAUUGGAAAAGCCUAUAUAUACGUCUAUUCUGUGUACAAUUGUCUGUGUAUAACAGCAUUAAAUGUAUGUGUGUGUUUGUAUAUAUAUAUGUUCUGUGAUCCACCCUGAGUCCCCUUCAGAGUGAGAAGGGCGGAAUAUAAAUACUGUAAAUAAAAUACAUACAUAAAUAAUUUUAGGAAUCUCUGUGUUGUCGAAGGCUUUCAUGGCCGGGAUCACAGGGUUGUUGUAUGUUUUCCGGGCAUAUUCUCUCCUGGAACAUGGCCAUGCAGCCCGGAAAACAUUCAACAACCCUUAAGGAUCUCUUCCCAGCCCAGCAUGGAGACUGACUUACAAGAAGUCUCAGUCAGUCCUCCUGUUUGCAGGUUCAACCAUUCAUUCGAACUCUGGCUGGCAGCUGCGAUGGAGGGACACAUCUCUUCCUCUUCUGAUUGGGCCUUUCUGAUGCUGAACAGCAUUCUGGAAAAUGUAGUUUAGGGCAAGGCCUUUUGCAUUCUCUGCCAUAGGGCUCCACACCUUCCCAAACUACAUUUCCCAGAGUUCUGCGCUCUCUCUGUCUCUUUCCCAGCAAACUCUGCUUUCUCCCUGCUGCUUUCCUCUCCUUGUGGCAAGAGGCUAUUCAUUUAAAAAGGAAAAUAAAGCUGGCUUUGGGAGGCUUCUGAGGUUUACAAAAUUCAAACGAAAAAGUAUCGGAACCUCCAGGGAAGGAGACGCUGCCAAAGGGAAAUGUUCAGGAGCACCCGGUAUCGUGGGUCCACUCACCAUUUUGCGGCGCUCUUCUAGGACUUGGGCCACAAUGGCCACAGCCUCCUUGUUUGUCUGGCAGCAGUAGAAGCCAUCUUCAAGCGUGUAGCGAGCGUGUACAGUGCACUCCACGGCCCGGUGUUGCGCCUGCCUCGUGGUGUCCACAAAAGAGGUGCUCUCCUUCGGUUUGUGGUGCAGCAUCACCAAGAUCGCCUCCGGCUCACCUGGAACGAGAAACACGACAGAAGCCGUGGAGAAACUGGCAGGAAAACAGCUUCCCAGUCUCUGUUUCAGACCUCCAGGGAAGGAGAUUCCACUAGACACUAAGAUUCAGGCAGAAUCUCUUUUUGUUGGAAAAAUGUCAUCCUGUACUGCUUAAGUCUCUAUGGUUAGAUAGGAAGCCUAGUGUUAGGGACACCUUCCCCAGUUCCAUGCAUGCUCUGGUUAGGCUUUACUAUUGUUUCCUCCCUCAUGUCCUAUUUAGGUCAACCCCACCCUUUGAUGCUUUAGAAAUGUGAUCUCUCCUAGGGCUUUGACGUAACUUCCCAAUUUGGCCUUUGGAAUGUUUAGGGCCCUAGAGAAAAAGCGACCCACGAGGCUUGGUCGCCAUUCCAUCUUCCUGCUUUGUUCCAGAGAGGACGCAUUUUGUCCCCUCUUCUAGUCAAGAUGUAGCUAUCUAGACCUUUGUUAUUUUAAUCCGUCUAUGUGUAUUAGAUCAGGAUAGAUUAGUUAUUUAGCUACAAACCUUUUCUAUCCAUCAAUGGAUUUCUUUUUACCUCAAUAAAUGCUUUUAAACUUUAAA